Molecule: ribosomal RNA, 497 nt
Filed under: uncultured bacterium
Lineage: Bacteria
Description: partial 16S ribosomal RNA
Rfam family: Bacterial small subunit ribosomal RNA
Source: RNAcentral
GAUGAACGCUGGCGGCGUGCCUAAUACAUGCAAGUCGAGCGAACAGACGAGGAGCUUGCUCCUCUGACGUUAGCGGCGGACGGGUGAGUAACACGUGGAUAACCUACCUAUAAGACUGGGAUAACUUCGGGAAACCGGAGCUAAUACCGGAUAAUAUAUUGAACCGCAUGGUUCAAUAGUGAAAGACGGUUUUGCUGUCACUUAUAGAUGGAUCCGCGCCGCAUUAGCUAGUUAGUAAGGUAACGGCUUACCAAGGCAACGAUGCGUAGCCGACCUGAGAGGGUGAUCGGCCACACUGGAAAUGAGACACGGUCCAGACUCCUACGGGAGGCAGCAGUAGGGAAUCUUCCGCAAUGGGCGAAAGCCUGACGGAGCAACGCCGCGUGAGUGAUGAAGGUCUUCGGAUCGUAAAACUCUGUUAUUAGGGAAGAACAAAUGUGUAAGUAACUAUGCACGUCUUGACGGUACCUAAUCAGAAAGCCACGGCUAACUACGUG